This 442-nucleotide ribosomal RNA is filed under the name uncultured bacterium. RNAcentral's name for it is "partial 16S ribosomal RNA". It matches the Rfam family "Bacterial small subunit ribosomal RNA", at positions 338 to 795 of the family's 1533-position model. The record is from RNAcentral.
CCUACGGGUGGCAGCAGUGGGGAAUAUUGGGCAAUGGGCGAAAGCCUGACCCAGCAACGCCGCGUGAAGGAAGAAGGCUUUCGGGUUGUAAACUUCUUUUGACAGGGAAGAGCAGAAGACGGUACCUGUCGAAUAAGCCAUGGCUAACGACGUGCCAGCAGCCGCGGGACUACGUAGGGGGCAAGCGGUGUCCGGAUGUAGUGGGUGGAAAGGGCGUGUAGGCGGGCGGACAAGUCAGAUGUGAAAUCCGGGGGCUCAACCCCCGAACUGCAUUUGAAACUGUUGGUCUUGAGUAUCGGAGAGGCAGGCGGAAUUCCUAGUGUAGCGGUGAAAUGCGUAGAUAUUAGGAGGAACACCAGUGGCGAAGGCGGCCUGCUGGACGACAACUGACGGUGAGGCGCGAAAGCGUGGGGAGCAAACAGGAUUAGAUACCCCAGUAGUC